UGAGGAAUAUUGGUCAAUGGGCGAGAGCCUGAACCAGCCAAGUAGCGUGCAGGAUGACGGCCCUAUGGGUUGUAAACUGCUUUUAUAAGGGAAUAAAGUUAGUCUCGUGAGACUUUUUGCAUGUACCGUACGAAUAAGGACCGGCUAAUUCCGUGCCAGCAGCCGCGGUAAUACGGAAGGUCCGGGCGUUAUCCGGAUUUAUUGGGUUUAAAGGGAGCGUAGGCUGUCCUUUAAGCGUGUUGUGAAAUGUAGGCGCUCAACGCCUGCACUGCAGCGCGAAACUGAAGGACUUGAGUGUGCACGACGCUGGCGGAAUUCGUGGUGUAGCGGUGAGAUGCUUAGAUAUGACGAAGAACUCCGAUUGCGAAGGCAGCCUGCUGUAGCGUAACUGACGCUGAAGCUCGAAAGCGUGGGUAUCGAACAGGAUUAGAUACCCUGGUAGU
RNAcentral lists this ribosomal RNA (443 nucleotides) under uncultured Prevotella sp. RNAcentral describes it as "bacterial SSU rRNA". It matches the Rfam family "Bacterial small subunit ribosomal RNA", at positions 355 to 794 of the family's 1533-position model. Lineage: Bacteria; Pseudomonadati; Bacteroidota; Bacteroidia; Bacteroidales; Prevotellaceae. The record is from RNAcentral.